CAGGUCAGCAUACUGCCGUGAAUACGUUCCCGGGCCUUGUACACACCGCCCGUCACACCAUGAGAGUUGGGAAUACCCGAAGCCUGUGAGCUAACUUUUAGAGGCAGCAGUCGAAGGUAGAAUCAAUGAUUGGGGUGAAGUCGUAACAAGGUACC
RNAcentral lists this ribosomal RNA (155 nucleotides) under uncultured bacterium. RNAcentral's name for it is "partial 16S ribosomal RNA". It matches the Rfam family "Bacterial small subunit ribosomal RNA", at positions 1345 to 1500 of the family's 1533-position model. The record is from RNAcentral.